This 274-nucleotide ribosomal RNA is filed under the name uncultured bacterium. Its description in RNAcentral is "partial 16S ribosomal RNA". It matches the Rfam family "Bacterial small subunit ribosomal RNA", at positions 523 to 796 of the family's 1533-position model. The record is from RNAcentral.
AUACGGAGGGUCCAAGCGUUAUCCGGAUUCAUUCGGUUUAAAGGGUCCGCAGGCGGGAAAAUAAGUCAGUGGUGAAAGCCUACAGCUCAACUGUAGAACUGCCAUUGAUACUGUUUUUCUUGAGUAUAGAUGAAGUGGGCGGAAUAUAUCAUGUAGCGGUGAAAUGCAUAGAUAUGAUAUAGAACACCGAUUGCGAAGGCAGCUCACUAAACUAUUACUGACGCUCAGGGACGAAAGCGUGGGGAGCGAACAGGAUUAGAAACCCUUGUAGUCC